UACGGAGGGGGAUAGCGUUGUUCGGAAUUACUGGGCGUAAAGCGCACGUAGGCGGAAGUGCCAGUCAGGGGUGAAAUCCCGGAGCUCAACUUAGGAACUACCUCUGAUACAGCCCGUCUUGGGUCCGGAAGAGGUGGGUGGAAUUCCGAGUGUAGAGGUGAAAUUCGUAGAGAUUAGGAAGAACACCGGUGGCGAAGGCGACCCACUGGUUCGGUACUGACGUUGAGGUGCGAAAGAGUGGGGAGCAAACAGG
This 253-nucleotide ribosomal RNA is filed under the name uncultured bacterium. RNAcentral's name for it is "partial 16S ribosomal RNA". It matches the Rfam family "Bacterial small subunit ribosomal RNA", at positions 524 to 776 of the family's 1533-position model. The record is from RNAcentral.